UAGGGAAUCUUCGGCAAUGGACGAAAGUCUGACCGAGCAACGCCGCGUGAGUGAAGAAGGUUUUCGGAUCGUAAAACUCUGUUGUUAGAGAAGAACAAGGACGUUAGUAACUGAACGUCCCCUGACGGUAUCUAACCAGAAAGCCACGGCUAACUACGUGCCAGCAGCCGCGGUAAUACGUAGGUGGCAAGCGUUGUCCGGAUUUAUUGGGCGUAAAGCGAGCGCAGGCGGUUUCUUAAGUCUGACGUGAAAGCCCCCGGCUCAACCGGAGAGGGGCAGUGGAAACUGGGGGACUGGAGUGCAGAAGAGGAGAGUGGAAUUCCAUGUGUAGCGGUGAAAUGCAUAGAUAUAUGGAGGAACACCAGUGGCGAAGGCGGCUCUCUGGCCUAUAACUGACGCUGAGGCUCGAAAGCGUGGGGAGCAAACAGG
This 429-nucleotide ribosomal RNA is filed under the name Gemmatimonadota bacterium. RNAcentral describes it as "Gemmatimonadetes bacterium partial 16S ribosomal RNA". It matches the Rfam family "Bacterial small subunit ribosomal RNA", at positions 355 to 776 of the family's 1533-position model. Lineage: Bacteria; Pseudomonadati; Gemmatimonadota. The record is from RNAcentral.